RNAcentral lists this ribosomal RNA (497 nucleotides) under uncultured bacterium. Its description in RNAcentral is "partial 16S ribosomal RNA". It matches the Rfam family "Bacterial small subunit ribosomal RNA", at positions 28 to 507 of the family's 1533-position model. The record is from RNAcentral.
GAUGAACGCUGGCGGCGUGCCUAAUACAUGCAAGUCGAGCGAACAGAUGAGGAGCUUGCUCCUCUGACGUUAGCGGCGGACGGGUGAGUAACACGUGGAUAACCUACCUAUAAGACUGGGAUAACUUCGGGAAACCGGAGCUAGUACCGGAUAAUAUAUUGAACCGCAUGGUUCAAUAGUGAAAGACGGUUUUGCUGUCACUUAUAGAUGGAUCCGCGCCGCAUUAGCUAGUUGGUAAGGUAACGGCUUACCAAGGCAACGAUGCGUAGCCGACCUGAGAGGGUGAUCGGCCACACUGGAACUGAGACACGGUCCAGACUCCUACGGGAGGAAGCAGUAGGGAAUCUUCCGCAAUGGGCGAAAGCCUGACGGAGCAACGCCGCGUGAGUGAUGAAGGUCUUCGGAUCGUAAAACUCUGUUAUUAGGGAAGAACAAAUGUGUAAGUAACUAUGCACGUCUUGACGGUACCUAAUCAGAAAGCCACGGCUAACUACGUG